GUUGUUGGUUUUCGUGGUUUUUGCUACCUUUCCGUAUAUUUUUGGUAAUUCUUUUGUACCUGUUUAUGUAUUAUAAGCUCUACAAUUUACUAUUUUCUUUAUAUGUGCCGACCUUAUAAAAAUAUCUGCUUUUUUGCUUAGUAACAUUCUUAUUUGUUCUUUAAUCUCAACUGCAAUCAGAAACUGAAGUUGUUAAUUCUGCA
Molecule: long non-coding RNA, 203 nt
Filed under: Mytilus galloprovincialis (Mediterranean mussel)
Lineage: Eukaryota; Metazoa; Mollusca; Bivalvia; Mytilida; Mytilidae
Source: RNAcentral